Molecule: ribosomal RNA, 528 nt
Filed under: uncultured bacterium
Lineage: Bacteria
Description: bacterial SSU rRNA
Rfam family: Bacterial small subunit ribosomal RNA
Source: RNAcentral
AAUAGAUACCCAGGUAGUCCACGCCGUAAACGAUGAGUGCUAAGUGUUAGAGGGUUUCCGCCCUUUAGUGCUGCAGCUAACGCAUUAAGCACUCCGCCUGGGGAGUACGGCCGCAAGGCUGAAACUCAAAGGAAUUGACGGGGGCCCGCACAAGCGGUGGAGCAUGUGGUUUAAUUCGAAGCAACGCGAAGAACCUUACCAGGUCUUGACAUCCUCUGCCAACCCUAGAGAUAGGGCGUUCCCCUUCGGGGGACAGAGUGACAGGUGGUGCAUGGUUGUCGUCAGCUCGUGUCGUGAGAUGUUGGGUUAAGUCCCGCAACGAGCGCAACCCUUGAUCUUAGUUGCCAGCAUUCAGUUGGGCACUCUAAGGUGACUGCCGGUGACAAACCGGAGGAAGGUGGGGAUGACGUCAAAUCAUCAUGCCCCUUAUGACCUGGGCUACACACGUGCUACAAAUGGAUGGUACAAAGAGCUGCGAACCCGCGAGGGUAAGCCAAUCUCAUAAAAGCCAUUCUCAGUUCGGAUUGU